RNAcentral lists this transfer RNA (72 nucleotides) under Bos taurus (domestic cattle). It matches the Rfam family "tRNA". From Rfam's summary of the family: Transfer RNA (tRNA) molecules are approximately 80 nucleotides in length. Their secondary structure includes four short double-helical elements and three loops (D, anti-codon, and T loops). Lineage: Eukaryota; Metazoa; Chordata; Mammalia; Artiodactyla; Bovidae. The record is from Rfam by way of RNAcentral. RNAcentral also lists the same sequence under 7 other names.
UCCCUGGUGGCUCAGAUGGUAAAGAAUCUGCCUGCAGUGCAGGAGAUCUGGGUUCAAUUCCUGGGUCGGGAA